This 253-nucleotide ribosomal RNA is filed under the name uncultured bacterium. RNAcentral describes it as "partial 16S ribosomal RNA". It matches the Rfam family "Bacterial small subunit ribosomal RNA", at positions 524 to 776 of the family's 1533-position model. The record is from RNAcentral.
UACGUAGGGUGCAAGCGUUGUCCGGAAUUAUUGGGCGUAAAGAGCGUGUAGGCGGCCAGGUAGGUCGGUUGUGAAAACUGGAGGCUCAACCUUCAGAGGUCGACCGAAACCAUCUGGCUAGAGUCCGGGAGAGGAGAGUGGAAUUCCUGGUGUAGCGGUGAAAUGCGCAGAUAUCAAGAGGAACACCUGAGGUGAAGACGGGUUGCUGGGCUGACACUGACGCUGAGGCGCGAAAGCCAGGGGAGCAAACGGG